GACGAACGCUGGCGGCGUGCUUAACACAUGCAAGUAGAACGAGUGGCGAACGGGUGAGUGACACGUGGGUGACCUGCGCUGCACUUCGGGGUAAGCCUGGGAAACUGGGUCUCAUACCGGCUAGUGUUGGAUGAGCCCGCGGCCUUUCAGCUUGUUGUUGGGGUAAUGGCUACCAAGGCGCGACGGGUAGCCGGCCUGAGAGGGUGUACGGCCACAUUGGGACUGAGACACGGCCCAGACUCCUACGGGAGGCAGCAGUGGGGAAUAUUGCACAAGGGGCGGAAGCCGGAUGCAGACAUGCCGCGUGUAUGAAGAAGGCCUUAGGGUUGUAAAGUACUUUCAGCGGGGAGGCGUUACCCGCAGAAGAAGCACCGGCUAACUCCGUGCCAGCAGCCGCGGUAAUUC
This 405-nucleotide ribosomal RNA is filed under the name uncultured bacterium. RNAcentral's name for it is "partial 16S ribosomal RNA". It matches the Rfam family "Bacterial small subunit ribosomal RNA", at positions 28 to 526 of the family's 1533-position model. The record is from RNAcentral.